UAAUAACUUCUCGAAUCGCACGGCCUUGCGCCGGCGAUGGUUCAUUCAAAUUUCUGCCCUAUCAACUUUCGACGGCUGGGUAUUGGCCAGCCGUGGUGACAACGGGUAACGGAGGGUUAGGGCUCGACCCCGGAGAAGGAGCCUGAGAAACGGCUACUACAUCCAAGGAAGGCAGCAGGCGCGCAAAUUACCCAAUCCCGACACGGGGAGGUAGUGACAAUAAAUACUGAUACAGGGCUCUUUCGGGUCUUGUAAUUGGAAUGAGUACAAUCUAAAUCCCUUAACGAGGAACAAUUGGAGGGCAAGUCUG
RNAcentral lists this ribosomal RNA (310 nucleotides) under uncultured fungus. RNAcentral's name for it is "SSU rRNA". It matches the Rfam family "Eukaryotic small subunit ribosomal RNA", at positions 254 to 563 of the family's 1831-position model. The record is from RNAcentral. Lineage: Eukaryota; Fungi.